RNAcentral lists this ribosomal RNA (380 nucleotides) under uncultured eukaryote. RNAcentral's name for it is "partial 18S ribosomal RNA". It matches the Rfam family "Eukaryotic small subunit ribosomal RNA", at positions 592 to 976 of the family's 1831-position model. The record is from RNAcentral.
CAAUAGCGUAUAUUAAAGUUGUUGCGGUUAAAAAGCUCGUAGUUGGAGUUCUGCCAGGUGCCGCCUGUCCGCCCCAGUGGUGAGUACGUGGCGCGCAUUUGGCCCUUUCAAGGGGAGCGUAUCUGCACUUUAUUGUGUGGUGCGGGAUCCUUGACUUUUACUUUGAGGAAAUAGGAGUGUUCCAAGCAGGCUCUCGUCGUGCACAGCUCAGCAUGGAAUAAUAGCAUUGGACCUCGAUUCUAAGCUGUUGGUUGCCAGAAGCGAGGUAAUGAUGAAGAGGGAUAGUUGGGGGCAUUCGUAUUUAACGGUCAGAGGUGAAAUUCUUGGAUUUGUUAAAGACGGACUACUGCGAAAGCAUCUGCCAUGGAUGUUUUCAUUGA